AUGUGUAUAUGAUAGUUGGGAGUAGUUGAUAUGCAUGUUUGUAGGUUUUUGGGCAAAGUUUGCAUGAAACAGAGCAGGGUUCUGCCCUUCGGGCAAAACCAGGUUCGGCCGCCGAAGGAAGGUUCGGCCGCCGAACCCCUUGUGGAGGCAGUUUCGGCUGCCAAAGGUUGCCCCCGAACGCUAGGCUUUCGGUUUAGACAGAG
This 203-nucleotide long non-coding RNA is filed under the name Manihot esculenta (cassava). Its description in RNAcentral is "long non-coding RNA (MESC_LNC002027)". Lineage: Eukaryota; Viridiplantae; Streptophyta; Magnoliopsida; Malpighiales; Euphorbiaceae. The record is from RNAcentral.